Molecule: ribosomal RNA, 235 nt
Filed under: uncultured bacterium
Lineage: Bacteria
Description: partial 16S ribosomal RNA
Rfam family: Bacterial small subunit ribosomal RNA
Source: RNAcentral
AGUAACCUGCCUUGGAGUGGGGAAUAACAGUUGGAAACAGCUGCUAAUACCGCAUGAUGCAGUUGAGUCGCAUGGCUCUGACUGCCAAAGAUUUAUCGCUCUGAGAUGGACUCGCGUCUGAUUAGCUAGUUGGCGGGGUAACGGCCCACCAAGGCGACGAUCAGUAGCCGGACUGAGAGGUUGGCCGGCCACAUUGGGACUGAGACACGGCCCAGACUCCUACGGAAGGCAGCAG